This 518-nucleotide ribosomal RNA is filed under the name uncultured bacterium. Its description in RNAcentral is "bacterial SSU rRNA". It matches the Rfam family "Bacterial small subunit ribosomal RNA", at positions 8 to 518 of the family's 1533-position model. The record is from RNAcentral.
AGAGUUUGAUCCUGGCUCAGAUGAACGCUGGCGGCAUGCUUUACACAUGCAAGUCGAACGGCAGCACAGGGAGCUUGCUCCCGGGUGGCGAGUGGCGCACGGGUGAGUAAUACAUCGGAACGUGUCCUGUUGUGGGGGAUAACUGCUCGAAAGGGUGGCUAAUACCGCAUGAGACCUGAGGGUGAAAGCGGGGGAUCGCAAGACCUCGCGCAAUUGGAGCGGCCGAUGCCCGAUUAGCUAGUUGGUGAGGUAAAGGCUCACCAAGGCGACGAUCGGUAGCUGGUCUGAGAGGACGACCAGCCACACUGGGACUGAGACACGGCCCAGACUCCUACGGGAGGCAGCAGUGGGGAAUUUUGGACAAUGGGGGCAACCCUGAUCCAGCCAUGCCGCGUGCAGGAUGAAGGCCUUCGGGUUGUAAACUGCUUUUGUCAGGGACGAAAAGGACCGUGUUAAUACCAUGGUCUGCUGACGGUACCUGAAGAAUAAGCACCGGCUAACUACGUGCCAGCAGCCGC